GACGAACGCUGGCGGCGUGCUUAACACAUGCAAGUCGAACGGAAAGGCCCUGCUUGCAGGGUACUCGAGUGGCGAACGGGUGAGUAACACGUGGGUGAUCUGCCCUUCACUUCGGGAUAAGCUUGGGAAACUGGGUCUAAUACCGGAUAGGAACCAUCUUUAGUGUGGUGGUUGGAAAGUUUUUUCGGUGUAGGAUGAGCUCGCGGCCUAUCAGCUUGUUGGUGGGGUAAUGGCCUACCAAGGCGGCGACGGGUAGCCGGCCUGAGAGGGUGUACGGCCACAUUGGGACUGAGAUACGGCCCAGACUCCUACGGGAGGCAGCAGUGGGGAAUAUUGCACAAUGGGCGCAAGCCUGAUGCAGCGACGCCGCGUGGGGGAUGAAGGCCUUCGGGUUGUAAACUCCUUUCGCUAGGGACGAAGCUUUGUUGUGACGGUACCUAGAUAAGAAGCACCGGCUAACUACGUG
RNAcentral lists this ribosomal RNA (466 nucleotides) under uncultured bacterium. RNAcentral's name for it is "partial 16S ribosomal RNA". It matches the Rfam family "Bacterial small subunit ribosomal RNA", at positions 28 to 507 of the family's 1533-position model. The record is from RNAcentral.